Molecule: ribosomal RNA, 253 nt
Filed under: uncultured bacterium
Lineage: Bacteria
Description: partial 16S ribosomal RNA
Rfam family: Bacterial small subunit ribosomal RNA
Source: RNAcentral
UACAGGGGGGGCAAGCGUUGUUCGGAAUUACUGGGCGUAAAGGGUCUGUAGGUGGCCAACUAAGUCAGACGUGAAAUCCCUCGGCUUAACCGGGGAACUGCGUCUGAUACUGGAUGGCUUGAGAUUGGGAGAGGGAUGCGGAAUUCCAGGUGUAGCGGUGAAAUGCGUAGAUAUCUGGAGGAACACCGGUGGCGAAGGCGGCAUCCUGGACCGGCAUUGACGCUGAGGCGCGAAAGCCAGGGGAGCAAACGGG